This 424-nucleotide ribosomal RNA is filed under the name uncultured bacterium. RNAcentral's name for it is "bacterial SSU rRNA". It matches the Rfam family "Bacterial small subunit ribosomal RNA", at positions 355 to 776 of the family's 1533-position model. The record is from RNAcentral.
UAGGGAAUAUUGGUCAAUGGAGGCAACUCUGAACCAGCCAUGCCGCGUGCAGGACUAAGGCCCUAUGGGUCGUAAACUGCUUUUGAACGGGAAGAAAUGUAUCUACGUGUAGAUAUUUGACGGUACCGUUAGAAUAAGGAUCGGCUAACUUCGUGCCAGCAGCCGCGGUAAUACGAAGGAUCCAAGCGUUGUCCGGAUUUACUGGGUUUAAAGGGUGCGUAGGCGGACUUAUAAGUCAGUGGUGAAAGCCUUCAGCUUAACUGAAGAACUGCCAUUGAAACUGUAAGUCUCGAGUUCGGUUGAGGUCAUUGGAAUGUAACAUGUAGCGGUGAAAUGCAUAGAUAUGUUACAGAACACCAAUUGCGAAGGCAGAUGACUAAACCGAAACUGACGCUGAGGCACGAAAGCGUGGGGAUCAAACAGG